RNAcentral lists this non-coding RNA (21 nucleotides) under Owenia fusiformis. The record is from RNAcentral. RNAcentral also lists the same sequence under 80 other names. Lineage: Eukaryota; Metazoa; Annelida; Polychaeta; Sabellida; Oweniidae.
GUGCAUUGUAGUUGCAUUGCA